CUUAUCAAGAGUGGCGGAGGAACUGGUCCUGUGAAGCCCGGCAACCUUUUGCAGCAAUGCAAAAAAGGUGCUACAUCCUGCGGUGUCAACCGAGAGAUGAGG
Molecule: non-coding RNA, 102 nt
Filed under: uncultured Ruminococcus sp.
Lineage: Bacteria; Bacillati; Bacillota; Clostridia; Eubacteriales; Oscillospiraceae
Description: SAM riboswitch (S box leader)
Rfam family: SAM riboswitch aptamer (S box leader)
About the family: The SAM riboswitch is found upstream of a number of genes which code for proteins involved in methionine or cysteine biosynthesis in Gram-positive bacteria. The SAM riboswitch acts at the level of transcription termination control.
Source: RNAcentral